This is a long non-coding RNA of Populus euphratica (Euphrates poplar), 1677 nucleotides long. RefSeq lists it as uncharacterized. The record is from RefSeq and is a predicted model, not a curated record. Lineage: Eukaryota; Viridiplantae; Streptophyta; Magnoliopsida; Malpighiales; Salicaceae. The transcript has 2 exons.
UCCAGUCUUGUCUUCUUCUUCUUCUUUUUUCCUGUUUUUUUCGAGUAAUUAAGGGAUGAAGGAUUUUGAAGUUUGCACAAUAGAGUAUGGCCAUUGAAGUUUCAAUGUUGGUGGUUGUAUUUUGAGCAAACAAGAAAGCAAGUGAAUUAUAGGGGGGCUAUAAUUUACUGUAAACCACUCUUUUCUUUUAGUUGUUCUUUAUAGUUUUUGGUGCUGAGUAUUGACUUUUAGCUGCUUCUACUACUUGGAAGGCAGUAGACAAUGAAUGUUAAAUAAGAUCAAAAGAAAGUGAUGGCACAACGUGUACGAAGCACUUUCUUCAUCAUUUUGAUUAGUCACGCUAGGAUUUGUUUCUUCUUAUGUGUUUUUGAUUGCUAAGCUCUUGCAAAACUGUAAUCCUUGCUAGGAUAGUGGGCGCGUGUCUUAAUUGCAAACAAGAACAUCACGAAGUGACGAUCAUUUUUAAAUAAUUCUUUGUAAAUGAUGACAAAUGGUUGUUUUUCAGUCAAAUUUGCAAUGGAUUCAUGUUUUGAUCCGAAGACUGCUAUGGUGGCUUUAAUUGUCCUCACCUAAAGACAAGAUGGAGAGAGACGUAUAUUUUUAUUUUUAUUUUUUUGUGGUGGAUGGCAUUGUUUCUUUGACAAAUCAAAUAAACUACUCAUUACAGCAAUUUCUUUACCUUACUUUUGAAACUAAAACCACACUGUCCACUGGUCAUCACAACAAUAGUCGUAAUUAUUGAACAAGACAAUGAUGACUUAAAUGUAGACCACCCAGUAGGUGUACACACAAUCGGUCUUUACUUGACCCUAUCGUGAUGUUCAUGUAACGAAUUAUGAUAUAUCACCGAAAAAAGGAAAAAAGAAAGAAAUUGCUAUGAUAGAUUUCGACUUGGACGGUACCUGUUCAAGCUCUCAUUUAAUCUUUCUCGAGAAAAAAACCUUCACUCUUCGUCUAUUAUCUCCAAUUCUUUCAAACUAGCUCCCAGUGAUCUAUACUGUUGUUGCAGUUUAGAUUCAAAGAUGACCACUCAUUAUUCGUAAUCCCACCUUGAAAGUUGAAUCAGAAAGUAGAAAAGGCAGAAGAGAUGAUUAGCCAUGCCAAAAAGAAUUUCCCACCGAACAAAGCAUCUUCGACCUCAAGAGCCUAAAGCAAUAAAAACCUCUAAAACCAGCAACCAACCCUCUUUUUCUCAGGAAGAUGAGAAGGGAGGAUGGGGCUGCUUCCUCCCUUUGGGUUGGGUCAUGGGUGCUAUCCUUCCUAGCAUGUGUCUCUUGCAAUUGAUUUCCAUCCCUUUCGUCAAUUAUUAGCCACAGCCAAGUUAAUAUCCAUCCUUGUUUUUACCCUUUUCCCUACUUCCUAACAAAUAGAGCCUAAAACAAACUUCACAUCCCGACAUUGCUUCCGUGUUGAACAGAUUAUGGCUUGGCCCAGGGCAAAAAAAUAUAGUAAUGAUAUACGUUGAGGCCUACAUGCUAUCUAUAACAUUUCCGGUAAAAGCAAUGAUGAUUGGCGCCGAAGAAAACUAAUUGAGAUUAAAAUAAGGCAGUAAGUACGCACCCAACACAUGCAACCAAUUAUUAUCUUAUUAACAGUUUUAGGAACAAGUAUGUGAUCAGUACACGCCACCUGAGACCAGUGACUCCAUUACAAUGCAGAAACCAAGAAGUUGGAAAU